This 605-nucleotide long non-coding RNA is filed under the name Equus caballus (horse). RNAcentral's name for it is "lncRNA (ENSECAG00000036369.2)". Lineage: Eukaryota; Metazoa; Chordata; Mammalia; Perissodactyla; Equidae. The record is from RNAcentral.
CAACUGGAAGUCUCACUGAGGAAAGGACUCUUUGCCUCAGACCCGGACAAUCGGCACUCUCGCCUGCUGUACAAACUAUUGGGACUUCCCCGGCUGAUUGUGGUGUGGAUGUUAUUUACUCUGACAACAAAGGUCUGAGGCAAGGAUUGCUGAUGUGGAGUCAAAGAGAAGUCCAGACGGGAGAAGACGAGCUAGCAUCCCAGAUAUUUCCGUGUAGCCCUCCAGAUCCACUCCCCACUCUUCCCCACCCUGUUCUGUGCCCCAGCUGCUGAUCUGUAGGACCUGCAGCAAGGUACCUGCUCUUUGGCUUCCCACUGUGUUAUCCAGAGGAAUGCAUUGACAGAGAAUCAGCAAGGAGAAAAGUUGGACCUGUAUUCCCCAGACAUCUUGCUGCUGGGCCCCCUCAGGGAACCUGACUGAUACAGGUGAUAAGUUUGUGAAUUAGAACAGUGACAUGAAAAACAUAAGAAAAGGUCCAGAUCUGAGGUACAUUCCAAAAGAAGUAACAUACCUAGAUGAAAGACUGAUGGAGACUUUUCACUACAAUGAACAAUAUUUCACUGACUCUCCGUAGGAAAAUUUCUCUAAGGUUCUUAUGGCAUUGC